This 1467-nucleotide small RNA is filed under the name Pan troglodytes (chimpanzee). Its description in RNAcentral is "retained intron". The record is from RNAcentral. Lineage: Eukaryota; Metazoa; Chordata; Mammalia; Primates; Hominidae.
UUGCCACCUGCGGUGUUGCACUCUGGCUGCUGCUUCUGGGCACCGCUGUGUGUAUCCACCGCCGGCGCCGAGCUGGGGUGCACCUGGGCCCAGGUCUGUACAGAUAUACCAGUGAGGAUGCCAUCCUAAAACACAGGAUGGAUCACAGUGACUCCCAGUGGUUGGCAGACACUUGGCGUUCCACCUCUGGCUCUCGGGACCUCAGCAGCAGCAGCAGCCUCAGCAGUCGGCUGGGGGCGGAUGCCCGGGACCCACUAGACUGUCGUCGCUCCUUGCUCUCCUGGGACUCCCGAAGCCCCGGCGUGCCCCUGCUUCCAGACACCAGCACUUUUUAUGGCUCCCUCAUCGCUGAGCUGCCCUCCAGUACCCCAGCCAGGCCAAGUCCCCAGGUCCCAGCUGUCAGGCGCCUCCCACCCCAGCUGGCCCAGCUCUCCAGCCCCUGUUUCAGCUCAGACAGCCUCUGCAGCCGCAGGGGACUCUCUUCUCCCCGCUUGUCUCUGGCCCCUGCAGAGGCUUGGAAGGCCAAAAAGAAGCAGGAGCUGCAGCAUGCCAACAGUUCCCCACUGCUCCGGGGCAGCCACCCCUUGGAGCUCCGGGCCUGUGAGUUGGGAAAUAGAGGUUCCAAGAACCUUUCCCAAAGCCCAGGAGCUGUGCCCCAAGCUCUGGUUGCCUGGCGGGCCCUGGGACCGAAACUCCUCAGCUCCUCAAAUGAGCUGGUUACUCAUCAUCUCCCUCCAGCACCCCUCUUUCCUCAUGAAACUCCCCCAACUCAGAGUCAACAGACCCAGCCUCCGGUGGCACUACAGGCUCCCUCCUCCAUCCUGCUGCCAGCAGCCCCCAUCCCCAUCCUUAGCCCCUGCAGUCCCCCUAGCCCCCAGGCCUCUUCCCUCUCUGGCCCCAGCCCAGCUUCCAGUCGCCUGUCCAGCUCCUCACUGUCAUCCCUGGGGGAGGAUCAAGACAGCGUGCUGACCCCUGAGGAGGUAGCCCUGUGCUUGGAACUCAGUGAGGGUGAGGAGACUCCCAGGAACAGCGUCUCUCCCAUGCCAAGGGCUCCUUCACCCCCCACCACCUAUGGGUACAUCAGCGUCCCAACAGCCUCAGAGUUCACGGACAUGGGCAGGACUGGAGGAGGGGUGGGGCCCGAGGGGGGAGUCUUGCUGUGCCCACCUCGGCCCUGCCUCACCCCCACCCCCAGCGAGGGCUCCUUAGCCAAUGGUUGGGGCUCAGCCUCUGAGGACAAUGCCGCCAGCGCCAGAGCCAGCCUUGUCAGCUCCUCCGAUGGCUCCUUCCUCGCUGAUGCUCACUUUGCCCGGGCCCUGGCAGUGGCUGUGGAUAGCUUUGGUUUCGGUCUAGAGCCCAGGGAGGCAGACUGCGUCUUCAUAGGUAUGUGAGGUCUCCCCAUCUUACUCCUCACUCAUGCCCCUUGCCUUUCUAACAACUGUUAUCAUGUCAUCAUUGUUAAAACAA